AUUGAACGCUGGCGGCAGGCCUAACACAUGCAAGUCGAACGGUAACAGGAAGCAGCUUGCUGCUUUGCUGACGAGUGGCGGACGGGUGAGUAAUGUCUGGGAAACUGCCCGAUGGAGGGGGAUAACUACUGGAAACGGUAGCUAAUACCGCAUAACGUCGCAAGACCAAAGAGGGGGAACUUAGGGCCUCUUGCCAUCGGAUGUGCCCAGAUGGGAUUAGCUAGUAGGUGGGGUAACGGCUCACCUAGGCGACGAUCCCUAGCUGGUCUGAGAGGAUGACCAGCCACACUGGAACUGAGACACGGUCCAGACUCCUACGGGAGGCAGCAGUGGGGAAUAUUGCACAAUGGGCGCAAGCCUGAUGCAGCCAUGCCGCGUGUAUGAAGAAGGCCUUCGGGUUGUAAAGUACUUUCAGCGGGGAGGAAGGGAGUAAAGUUAAUACCUUUGCUCAUUGACGUUACCCGCAGAAGAAGCACCGGCUAACUCCGUG
RNAcentral lists this ribosomal RNA (490 nucleotides) under uncultured bacterium. RNAcentral describes it as "partial 16S ribosomal RNA". It matches the Rfam family "Bacterial small subunit ribosomal RNA", at positions 30 to 507 of the family's 1533-position model. The record is from RNAcentral.